GUUGAGGGUGGGCAGCAGCCAUUGACUGGACAUCUGAAUCGGGGUGGGGUGAGUGCGACCAGCGCAGGUCAGGCAUCCAGGAAUACUUUCUAAAAUUCUCCUUUCUACCUGGUUUCUAAAUACCUCCCUUGCCGUCCUCUCUCUCCUCUAUCCAGAAUUGGAGGUGGAAAAGCUGAACUGGGAGAUAAAGGUGCGAGAGAAGUCAUAAAUACAAGUACCACUACACAAACUAGAAUAUGUGGGUGCUCUUCCCCCAGUUUGUUGUGCAGCACAAAGGAGGUGAACAACAAGUGGUGAAUCUUCAGAAUUGAAGAAGAGAGUAAGAGGAGUGUGAUAUAAUGUUGAGGGGUUAUCCAGAAACCUGGUCCAGAUGGCCUAAGUUAAAAGGGAAUAGUCUACCUAAUGGAACUCUUACAUGUUAAAAGGCCUGCUUUAAGUCUGGUCACUUCUGCAAGGAAGGAAAGGAGGAGGAGUCCGGUUCAAAUCUCUGGAGGUUUGUGCAAAGAGGGGCAACACAGGAGACAGCUACAGAGUAAUAUGGCAGAUAUCUUUGAUCCAAGUGGUUGCAGGGCCUUCUCUACCUCACCUACUCCAUGUCAAGUUUGCACACUGCCACAGAAACCCUCGCAUUUCCUGCAGGGUAUACUAGGAAUAUUGGAGUAGGUGUGGACUGGGCUGUGAAUGGGAGAGAAAUACUUGAGAGUAGAGACCAGGAGACAGAAAAUAUUAGGCAUAUUAGACCUUUAAAAGAGAAAGAUGUUUGUAUCGGGGUCAGGGUUCUCACUUGUCUUUCUAGCAGUUAGGCUCCAUUCUCUAUUAUAUGUUUACUUGUUCUCAGGAUAGCCUACAGGCUGCUGUAGAGUUUGACACCACUGGAAUCAAAGAAAGGAGCAAGAAAUUGUGCUACAUCAGUGCAGGUUGGUAUGGGAGCGGGUACAGCUUUUGGGUGGGGUAGAAGAGACCAGCAUAAGUCCAGCAGUGACUAGGGUCUGGCCUUGGGGCUCCUCAGCCUCUCUCAUUGCCAAUUUCCACCAACUUCAUACCUAUUUUAUAACAGGCAAAGUAAUAUGGCAGCUCUAGGGAUAAAAAUUGUAGACAAAAUGAAGGUGAUAGACUUUAAUAGCCUAACUUUCCCACCAAGCAUUUAAGGUCUAGUCUCUCUGUGUGAGUUUUUGCAUGGAGUGAGACAGUUGGAAACGACUCAAACCUCCAUGUCAUUCUCACUUCCCAGAUUGACUUCCAGUGGCAGCUCUGGUGGUGUUGGAAUUGCUGCUGAGCACUACCUUCAACAGGUGUGUACCUACCCAGGAACCAUCCAUCCUCUCCCAGCUUGGUUGUGUUUUCUCUUCACUCUGACUGUAAUAUUGACUGAGGCUGGGAUUGGAAAGGAGGCUUAUUGACUGCUGGACUGGUGAUUGGCUCUAACUUUUCUUUCCAACUGUAUCACCUGAGUCAUCAAAAAAUUAGAGUGUGAAGAUACAAAACUGUGAGAAAUCUGUGGUAGAAGCUGAGACUGGGAUAGUUGUAGUUAUUCAG
Molecule: long non-coding RNA, 1536 nt
Filed under: Cervus hanglu yarkandensis (Yarkand deer)
Lineage: Eukaryota; Metazoa; Chordata; Mammalia; Artiodactyla; Cervidae
Description: lncRNA (ENSCHYG00000017469.1)
Source: RNAcentral